CGGACGGGUGAGGAAUACAUCGGAAUCUACUCUGUCGUGGGGGAUAACGUAGGGAAACUUACGCUAAUACCGCAUACGACCUACGGGUGAAAGCAGGGGAUCUUCGGACCUUGCGCGAUUGAAUGAGCCGAUGUCGGAUUAGCUAGUUGGCGGGGUAAAGGCCCACCAAGGCGACGAUCCGUAGCUGGUNUGAGAGGAUGAUCAGCCACACUGGAACUGAGACACGGUCCAGACUCCUACGGGAGGCAGCAGCG
This 254-nucleotide ribosomal RNA is filed under the name uncultured Stenotrophomonas sp. Its description in RNAcentral is "partial 16S ribosomal RNA". It matches the Rfam family "Bacterial small subunit ribosomal RNA", at positions 99 to 356 of the family's 1533-position model. Lineage: Bacteria; Pseudomonadati; Pseudomonadota; Gammaproteobacteria; Lysobacterales; Lysobacteraceae. The record is from RNAcentral.